GCAUGAAGUUGGAAUCGCUAGUAAUCGCGGAUCAGCAUGCCGCUGUGAAUACGUUCCCGGGCCCUUGUACACACCGCCCGUCACACCAUGAGAGUCGGGAACACCCGAAGUCCGUAGCCUGACCGCAAGGGGGCGCGGCCGAAGGUGGGUUCGAUAAUUGGGGUGAAGUCGUAACAAGGUACC
Molecule: ribosomal RNA, 183 nt
Filed under: uncultured bacterium
Lineage: Bacteria
Description: partial 16S ribosomal RNA
Rfam family: Bacterial small subunit ribosomal RNA
Source: RNAcentral